AAGACCCUAGUAAAAUAGUAUUACACUGCCUUGUCAAGGCAGUAUUGUGGGUUUAAGCCCCGCGAGUCUUU
Molecule: transfer RNA, 71 nt
Filed under: Pseudoscopelus astronesthidens
Lineage: Eukaryota; Metazoa; Chordata; Actinopteri; Scombriformes; Chiasmodontidae
Description: tRNA-Asp
Rfam family: tRNA
About the family: Transfer RNA (tRNA) molecules are approximately 80 nucleotides in length. Their secondary structure includes four short double-helical elements and three loops (D, anti-codon, and T loops).
Source: RNAcentral